GACGGGUUGGGCGAGGCCGCCUCCGCCCGCUACCGCCGGGCGAAGAUCGGCAUGGUGUUCCAGUUCUUCAACCUGCUC
Molecule: transfer RNA, 78 nt
Filed under: Plantactinospora endophytica
Lineage: Bacteria; Bacillati; Actinomycetota; Actinomycetes; Micromonosporales; Micromonosporaceae
Description: tRNA-Gly
Source: RNAcentral